Molecule: long non-coding RNA, 722 nt
Organism: Cygnus olor (mute swan)
Lineage: Eukaryota; Metazoa; Chordata; Aves; Anseriformes; Anatidae
Exons: 4
Source: RefSeq, a predicted model, not a curated record
GUGGCUAUCACAGUUCACAGGAAGGCAGUGAGAGCUCCAAACUCAGCUCCAUGAUGAGAAAGAAAGGAGCAGGACUACAACCUGUCACUGCUGGCAUACAAGCACAGCUCUGCUUCUCUGUGUCAUGAGGGCAGUAACCUUUGAGACAGAGUGGGCAGAAGGGACGGUAUUUUCCAGAAGUCAUGAGGUACUACUGGCUUUUGCUACUUCUUAAGCUGUACAAGGGCACCUCGAUCAAAGCUAACACAAAUUUCCAGACUAUUAACCAAAGGAUUUCUCUCCUGUACCAGGGUCUGUUUGUUUGAAGACACUAUGGAUUUGAUUUUAUUUUAAAAGAAGACAACUUUUCUUCAUAAUUACACUGAAAGAGAGAGGUAAUGUCUUCAACCAAAAAAAGAACGUAGACCGGUGUUCAAGUGAGGCAAUUUGAUUCUUGUGUGGAGCUUGGAAGUCGCUAGCUGAGGACUAUUCUGGGGACUGAGCUUGCCAGCAUCUCUGGUUCUUCUGGAAAAUAUGCUUUAUAUUAGUAGAUUUAAAGUGGAAGUGUUUGGUGUGCUAGAUGCGGCCCUGGACUCCCCCUCUGGAUCACAGGAGAUGAGAAGCAAAAACAUUGAGGCUCUGGAUCAGUCUUGCAGCUGUUGUGGGUAUUUACAGAUGGAAAAAGAACUUGGAGAUGUCCCAUGGCUGGCUCAUUUAAAUGACUAUACAGUUCUGCUUCUUGC